RNAcentral lists this ribosomal RNA (301 nucleotides) under uncultured bacterium. Its description in RNAcentral is "partial 16S ribosomal RNA". It matches the Rfam family "Bacterial small subunit ribosomal RNA", at positions 509 to 807 of the family's 1533-position model. The record is from RNAcentral.
CAGUAGCCGCGGUAAUACAGAGGGUGCGAGCGUUAAUCGGAUUUACUGGGCGUAAAGCGUGCGUAGGCGGCUUCUUAAGUCGGAUGUGAAAUCCCUGAGCUUAACUUAGGAAUUGCAUUCGAUACUGGGAAGCUAGAGUAUGGGAGAGGAUGGUAGAAUUCCAGGUGUAGCGGUGAAAUGCGUAGAGAUCUGGAGGAAUACCGAUGGCGAAGGCAGCCAUCUGGCCUAAUACUGACGCUGAGGUACGAAAGCAUGGGGAGCAAACAGGAUUAGAUACCACCGUAGUCCCUGUCUCUUAUAC